RNAcentral lists this ribosomal RNA (492 nucleotides) under uncultured bacterium. RNAcentral's name for it is "partial 16S ribosomal RNA". It matches the Rfam family "Bacterial small subunit ribosomal RNA", at positions 29 to 507 of the family's 1533-position model. The record is from RNAcentral.
AGUGAACGCUGGCGGUAGGCCUAACACAUGCAAGUCGAACGGCAGCACAGUAAGAUCUUGCUCUUACGGGUGGCGAGUGGCGGACGGGUGAGGAAUACAUCGGAAUCUACUUUUUCGUGGGGGAUAACGUAGGGAAACUUACGCUAAUACCGCAUACGACCUACGGGUGAAAGCAGGGGAUCUUCGGACCUUGCGCGAUUGAAUGAGCCGAUGUCGGAUUAGCUAGUUGGCGGGGUAAAGGCCGACCAAGGCGACGAUCGGUAGCUGGUCUGAGAGGAUGAUCAGCCACACUGGAACGGAGACACGGUCCAGACUCCUACGGGAGGCAGCAGUGGGGAAUAUUGGACAAUGGGCGCAAGCCUGAUCCAGCCAUACCGCGUGGGUGAAGAAGGCCUUCGGGUUGUAAAGCCCUUUUGUUGGGAAAGAAAAGCAGCAGGUUAAUACCCCGCUGUUCUGACGGUACCCAAAGAAUAAGCACCGGCUAACUUCGUG